GACGAACGCUGGCGGCGUGCCUAACACAUGCAAGUCGAACGGGGCUCUUUGGAUCGAGACUUCGGUCAAGUGAAUCUGAGCUUAGUGGCGGACGGGUGAGUAACGCGUGAGCAACCUGCCUUUCAGAGGGGGACAACAUCCCGAAAGGGGUGCUAAUACCGAAUGUGAUCACAUUUCCGCAUGGAAUUGUGAUGAAAGAUGGCCUCUAUUUAUAAGCUAUCGCUAAAGGAUGGGCCUGCGUCUGAUUAGCUAGUUGGUGGGGUAACGGCUCACCAAGGCGAUGAUCAGUAGCCGGUCUGAGAGGAUGAACGGCCACAUUGGGACUGAGACACGGCCCAG
This 339-nucleotide ribosomal RNA is filed under the name uncultured bacterium. Its description in RNAcentral is "bacterial SSU rRNA". It matches the Rfam family "Bacterial small subunit ribosomal RNA", at positions 28 to 334 of the family's 1533-position model. The record is from RNAcentral.